RNAcentral lists this long non-coding RNA (463 nucleotides) under Coccomyxa subellipsoidea. RNAcentral's name for it is "long non-coding RNA (CSUB_LNC000738)". Lineage: Eukaryota; Viridiplantae; Chlorophyta; Trebouxiophyceae; Coccomyxaceae. The record is from RNAcentral.
CCUCUGUAAGGGCUGCUUUAAGGUGCUCAAGAUGUUCUGCGUCGGGUGUCUCGUCCACUGCUAAAAUGACCAGCUGGGCAGGGGGGGCCUCCAAGCUGUCGCUAUCACUGCCCUCUAGAUAGUCCACUGCCUCUCCUGCCAACUCCGGGCAGCUCUGCAAGUUUCACACAAAGCACUGCUCAACAAAAGCUGCAUUCGGUAAUGCCUGUUUUUCUGUAGCAUUGAGCCAUGACGGUAUUUUCUGGGACGCCAUCCUGCCCAUGGUCAGCAGUAGCCAAGAGUGCACUGUCUGGAGACUGCCGAAUCAGUAAAGUUGGUAGUAAUUCAGAGAUUGGCCUCGAGGUGUUUGAGCAUAUGAUUGCUGAGAAGAGGAUAGGCCGCACAUGCGAGUCCAGCAAGGAUAGGGAGCUUGCAUCGCUGCUGGACUGGCCGCAGAAGUAACACUGCCACAUCCCGCUCCUCU